GACGAACGCUGGCGGCGUGCUUAACACAUGCAAGUCGAACGGGUCUGCCCUGUUUUUUGCGGGGUGGGUCAGUGGCGAACGGGUGAGUAACACGUGAGUAACCUGCCCCUCACUUCUGGAUAACCGCUUGAAAGGGUGGCUAAUACGGGGUGUUCUGGCUGUGCCGCAUGGUGUGGCUGGGAAAGAUUCACUUUUGUGGUGUUUUGGUGGGGGAUGGGCUCGCGGCCUAUCAGCUUGUUGGUGGGGUGAUGGCCUGCCAAGGCUUUGACGGGUAGCCGGCCUGAGAGGGUGGGCGGUCACACUGGGACUGAGAUACGGCCCAGACUCCUGCGGGAGGCAGCAGUGGGGGGUAUUGCACAAUGGGCGGAAGCCUGAUGCAGCGACGUCGCGUGAGGGAUGGAGGCCUUCGGGUUGUGAGCCUCUUUCGCCGGUGAAGAAGGUCCUGCUCUUUGUGGUGGGGUUGACGGUAGCCGGGUUAUGAAGCGCCGGCUAACUACGUG
RNAcentral lists this ribosomal RNA (500 nucleotides) under uncultured bacterium. RNAcentral describes it as "partial 16S ribosomal RNA". It matches the Rfam family "Bacterial small subunit ribosomal RNA", at positions 28 to 507 of the family's 1533-position model. The record is from RNAcentral.